AGGAUAGUAGUUAAUUAUAACAUUUGGUUUGCAUAUAAAAAGUAUUGAAUUAUUCAAUCUAUCUUG
RNAcentral lists this transfer RNA (66 nucleotides) under Blaptica dubia (Argentinian wood cockroach). RNAcentral's name for it is "tRNA-Ala". The record is from RNAcentral. Lineage: Eukaryota; Metazoa; Arthropoda; Insecta; Blattodea; Blaberidae.